RNAcentral lists this ribosomal RNA (957 nucleotides) under Triticum aestivum (bread wheat). Its description in RNAcentral is "partial small subunit ribosomal RNA". Lineage: Eukaryota; Viridiplantae; Streptophyta; Magnoliopsida; Poales; Poaceae. The record is from RNAcentral.
UAUGCUCCCGUUGCUAGACUCGAGUCAAUUCGCAUCUUACUUGCCUAUGCUAAUCAUCAUGAUAUCACCUUGUACCAAAUGGACAUUAAAAGUGCUUUUCUAAAUGGUAAAAUAGAGGAGGAAGUUUAUGUUAAACAACCUCCCGGCUUUGUCAAUCCUAAGAAACCCAAUCAUGUUUACAAACUUCACAAAGCUCUUUAUGGUCUUAAACAAGCUCCUAGAGCAUGGUAUAAAUGCUUGACCAAGUUCCUUCUUGAAAAAGGCUUUGAAAUUGGGAAAAUUGAUUCUACUCUUUUUACUAAAAGGGUUAAUGGAGAACUAUUUGUGUGCCAAAUUUAUGUUGAUGAUAUUAUAUUUGGUUCAACUAACCCUCAUUUUAGUGAAAACUUUGGAAAGCUAAUGUCGGAGAAGUUUGAGAUGUCUAUGAUGAGUGAACUCAAAUUCUUUCUUGGUUUGCAAAUUAAGAAAACUAAGGAAGGAACCUUUGUCUCUCAAACGAAGUAUACCAAGGAAUUAUUCAAGAAGUUCAAUAUGCAAGAAUGCAAAGGUAUGUCUACACCCAUGCCUACAAGUGGACACCUUGACUUGACCAAAGAUGGUGAACCGGUUGAUCAAAAGGUUUAUCGCUCUAUGAUUGGUUCAUUGUUAUAUCUAUGUGCUUCACGUCUCGAUAUCAUGCUAAGUGUGUGCAUGUGUGCAAGAUAUCAAGCUGCUCCUAAAGAAUGUCAUCUUAAGGCCGUGAAAAGGAUAGUGAGAUACUUAAUCCACACACCAAAUUUUGGCAUUUGGUAUCCUAAGAGGGCCUCUUUCGAUCUUGUUGGCUAUUCCGACUCGGACUACGCCGGAGACAAGGUUGAUAGAAAGUCCACUUCGGGUAAUUGUCAAUUUCUUGGUAGAUCUCUUGUGUCUUGGUCCUCCAAGAAACAAAACUCGGUAUCCUUAUCCACCGCCAAAGCG